GACGAACGCUGGCGGCGUGCUUAACACAUGCAAGUCGAACGGAGAUUAUUAAUGAAGCUUGCGAUUUAAUAAUCUUAGUGGCGGACGGGUGAGUAACGCGUGGGCAACCUACCCAUAAGCGGGGGAUAACAGUUGGAAACGACUGCUAAUACCGCAUAAGCUAUUGAGGUCGCAUGACCUAAAAUAGUAAAAGGUGGCGAAAAGCUAAUCACUUAUGGAUGGGCCCGCGUCUGAUUAGCUAGUUGGUGGGAUAGCAGCCUACCAAGGCAACGAUCAGUAGCCGGCCUGAGAGGGUGGACGGCCACACUGGGACUGAGACACGGCCCAGACUCCUACGGGAGGCAGCAGUGGGGAAUAUUGCGCAAUGGGGGAAACCCUGACGCAGCGACGCCGCGUGAGCGAAGAAGGCCUUAGGGUCGUAAAAGCUACUGUCGAGGAGGAAGAUAAUGACGGUACUCCUCGAGGAAGCCCCGGCUAACUACGUGCCAGCAGCCGCGGU
This 499-nucleotide ribosomal RNA is filed under the name uncultured bacterium. Its description in RNAcentral is "bacterial SSU rRNA". It matches the Rfam family "Bacterial small subunit ribosomal RNA", at positions 28 to 521 of the family's 1533-position model. The record is from RNAcentral.